This 250-nucleotide ribosomal RNA is filed under the name uncultured bacterium. RNAcentral's name for it is "partial 16S ribosomal RNA". It matches the Rfam family "Bacterial small subunit ribosomal RNA", at positions 779 to 1027 of the family's 1533-position model. The record is from RNAcentral.
UAGAUACCCUGGUAGUCCAUGCCGUAAACGAUGAAUGCUAGGUGUUGGAGGGUUUCCGCCCUUCAGUGCCGCAGCUAACGCAUUAAGCAUUCCGCCUGGGGAGUACGACCGCAAGGUUGAAACUCAAAGGAAUUGACGGGGGCCCGCACAAGCGGUGGAGCAUGUGGUUUAAUUCGAAGCAACGCGAAGAACCUUACCAGGUCUUGACAUCUUUUGAUCACCUGAGAGAUCAGGUUUCCCCUUCGGGGGC